RNAcentral lists this unclassified non-coding RNA (333 nucleotides) under soil metagenome. RNAcentral describes it as "partial contains 5.8S ribosomal RNA, internal transcribed spacer 2, and large subunit ribosomal RNA". The stretch from base 1 to 120 matches the Rfam family "5.8S ribosomal RNA", at positions 35 to 154 of the family's 154-position model. The record is from RNAcentral.
GAUGAAGAACGUAGCGAAAUGCGAUACGUAAUGUGAAUUGCAGAAUUCAGUGAAUCAUCGAAUCUUUGAACGCACAUUGCGCCUGCCAGCACUCUGGCAGGCAUGCCUGUUCGAGCGUCAUUUCAACCAUCAAGCCCUAGGCUUGCGUUGGAGCCCUGCGGCUGCCGCAGGCCCCUAAAAGCAGUGGCGGGCUCGCUAUCACACCAGUGCAGUAGAUUACUCUUCGCUCAGGGCGUGUGGCGGGUUCCAGCCGUGAAACCCCCUACUUCUCAAGGUUGACCUCGGAUCAGGUAGGAAUACCCGCUGAACUUAAGCAUAUCAAUAAGCGGAGGA